CUACGGGAUGCACCAGUAGGGAAUAUUGGUCAAUGGACGCAAGUCUGAACCAGCCAUGCCGCGUGCGGGAUGACGGCCCUCUGGGUUGUAAACUGCUUUUAUAUGGGAAGAAACCCCGGGAUGCGUUCCGGGCUGACGGUACCAUACGAAUAAGGAUCGGCUAACUUCGUGCCAGCAGCCGCGGUAAGACGAAGGAUCCAAGCGUUGUCCGGAUUUACUGGGUUUAAAGGGUGCGUAGGCGGAUGCUUAAGCCAGUGGUGAAAUCUCUCAGCUCAACUGAGAAACUGCCAUUGGAACUGGGCAUCUUGAAUUCGAUUGAGGUAGAUGGAAUAUAACAUGUAGCGGUGAAAUGCUUAGAUAUGUUAUGGAACACCGAUUGCGAAGGCAGUCUACUAAGUCGAUAUUGACGCUGAGGCACGAAAGCGCGGGUAGCGAACAGGAUUAGAUACCCUUGUAGUC
This 459-nucleotide ribosomal RNA is filed under the name uncultured bacterium. RNAcentral describes it as "partial 16S ribosomal RNA". It matches the Rfam family "Bacterial small subunit ribosomal RNA", at positions 339 to 795 of the family's 1533-position model. The record is from RNAcentral.